This 909-nucleotide ribosomal RNA is filed under the name uncultured bacterium. RNAcentral's name for it is "bacterial SSU rRNA". It matches the Rfam family "Bacterial small subunit ribosomal RNA", at positions 33 to 931 of the family's 1533-position model. The record is from RNAcentral.
ACGCUAGCUAUAGGCUUAACACAUGCAAGUCGAGGGGAAACGGCAUUAUGUGCUUGCACAUUUUGGACGUCGACCGGCGCACGGGUGAGUAUCGCGUAUCCAACCUGCCCUUUACUUGGGGGAUAACCCCGUUGAAAGACGGCCUAAUACCCGAUGUAAUUCAUUGAUGGCAUCAGAUAUGAAUAAAAGAUUUAUCGGUAAAGGAUGGGGAUGCGUCUGAUUAGCUUGUUGGUGAGGUAACGGCUCACCAAGGCGACGAUCAGUAGGGGUUCUGAGAGGAAGGUCCCCCACAUUGGAACUGAGACACGGUCCAAACUCCUACGGGAGGCAGCAGUGAGGAAUAUUGGUCAAUGGGCGCAAGCCUGAACCAGCCAAGUAGCGUGCAGGAAGACGGCCCUAUGGGUUGUAAACUGCUUUUAUACGAGAAUAAUUUGAUGCACGUGUGCGUUAUUGCAUGUAUCGUAUGAAUAAGGACCGGCUAAUUCCGUGCCAGCAGCCGCGGUAAUACGGAAGGUCCAGGCGUUAUCCGGAUUUAUUGGGUUUAAAGGGAGUGUAGGCGGUUUGUUAAGCGUGUUGUGAAAUUUAGGUGCUCAACAUUUAACUUGCAGCGCGAACUGGCGAACUUGAGUGCACACAACGUAUGCGGAAUUCAUGGUGUAGCGGUGAAAUGCUUAGAUAUCAUGAAGAACUCCGAUUGCGAAGGCAGCAUACGGGAGUGUAACUGACGCUUAAGCUCGAAGGUGCGGGUAUCGAACAGGAUUAGAUACCCUGGUAGUCCGCACAGUAAACGAUGGAUGCCCGCUGUUAGCGCCUGGCGUUAGCGGCUAAGCGAAAGCAUUAAGCAUCCCACCUGGGGAGUACGCCGGCAACGGUGAAACUCAAAGGAAUUGACGGGGGCCCGCACAAGCG